AGUGAACGCUGGCGGUAGGCCUAACACAUGCAAGUCGAACGGCAGCACAGUAAGAGCUUGCUCUUACGGGUGGCGAGUGGCGGACGGGUGAGGAAUACAUCGGAAUCUACUUUUUCGUGGGGGAUAACGUAGGGAAACUUACGCGAAUACCGCAUACGACCUACGGGUGAAAGCAGGGGAUCUUCGGACCUUGCGCGAUUGAAUGAGCCGAUGUCGGAUUAGCUAGUUGGCGGGGUAAAGGCCCACCAAGGCGACGAUCCGUAGCUGGUCUGAGAGGAUGAUCAGCCACACUGGAACUGAGACACGUUCCAGACUCCGACGGGAGGCAGCAGUGGGGAAUAUUGGACAAUGGGCGCAAGCCUGAUCCAGCCAUACCGCGUGGGUGAAGAAGGCCUUCGGGUUGUAAAGCCCUUUUGUUGGGAAAGAAAAGCAGCAGGUUAAUACCCCGCUGUUCUGACGGUACCCAAAGAAUAAGCACCGGCUAACUUCGUG
RNAcentral lists this ribosomal RNA (492 nucleotides) under uncultured bacterium. RNAcentral's name for it is "partial 16S ribosomal RNA". It matches the Rfam family "Bacterial small subunit ribosomal RNA", at positions 29 to 507 of the family's 1533-position model. The record is from RNAcentral.